AAUGUGGAGAUCGACUAACACGAAUCUUGAAACCAAAGAUUCGUGUUAAUCGAUCUCUGCAUGGGUCUGGGGAUGUAUGUAUAUAUAUAAAUAGAAAAAGCCCACUAUAUAGACUAUCGCGCUACCAGAUGCGUGACUGUGUAUUCCACUUUUUGGUGGAACACGUGUCACGUAUCCAGUAGCGCGAUGGUCAUUAUGCUGCAAGACUUAUAUCUGACAAAAAUGCUUGUCCAGUAUCUUCAGUUGAUAAAGUACUUGGAACUGUUUCAAAUGGAAAGGUCAAACAAACUAAUUCAGAUGGAAAUGUUCCUUCACGUACUUCACACAAGAAGGUUGCUCGGACAAGAAAACAGAAACGUAGACGUAAGAAGAAGCACCUUUUUAGUUUCAGAAAAAUCAAACGUUUCUUCAAAGGAAGAAAAUAUAGUAAUAAAUUGGAUGCUAAAAAGAAGAAACGGAACAAGGUAAUGAAUUUAGACAAGAAGGUGCAAGUAAAUAAUUCACAGACAACUCCUCAACGCACUUUAAUUGAACAGCUUUUUCGAAGAGACAA
This 553-nucleotide long non-coding RNA is filed under the name Androctonus crassicauda. The record is from RNAcentral. Lineage: Eukaryota; Metazoa; Arthropoda; Arachnida; Scorpiones; Buthidae.